RNA transcript from Cornus florida, 3713 nucleotides. It is a transcript of the gene named pentatricopeptide repeat-containing protein At2g13600-like, with no coding region annotated. NCBI's taxonomy places the organism in Eukaryota, Viridiplantae, Streptophyta, Magnoliopsida, Cornales, Cornaceae. The record is from RefSeq and is a predicted model, not a curated record. The transcript is spliced from 6 exons.
GGGGGGCCAACACCAACAACUAUGAAGCUUGAUUUGACCUGCCAGAUUAAUUCACUCAUCUUUGGAGUUGUUAGGUCAUUGUAUCGUAUUACGGACUGAAAUUGAACAAAUUUGUACUGUGGGACUUGAAUGAAAUACACUGUGACGUUGUUGUUGAGUUAAACUGAGACAAAAAUUAAAUUUGGGACUGUGAUUUAGUUUUGUUGGGUUGCUGAUUUGUGAACGGAGGAUUGGGCAGUAUUGUUGUUGUUUUUGUUGAGGAGUUUGGGCAAAUGUGAAAAUUGGAAGUGUCUUUGUGCCCAAAUUUAAUAAUUACCCAAAAGCUGAUUGGUGGUCCACGUUGCAGAUGGAGUGUUUUGAUGUACAGUGAAAGAAUUAGUGCCAAGGUUUCUGAUGUUUCAAUCUGUCAGAUCAACAUGGUUCAUUCAAAUGAUAUGUUGGCUAUGUUCAUCGUUCAAUGAACUAUUAUAUCAUGAGAUUAUGGAAUGAAAAGACAUGGACUGUUUACACAAGUUGUUGGUGACCUCUCUCUCCUCAACUCAUCACCCUUGGCAAAGCUAUUGGAUACAUGUCUCCGCUCAAAGUCAGCUCGGGACACCCGUCGUGUCCAUGCCCGCAUCAUAAAGUCUCAGUUUUUCUCAGAAAUUUUCAUCCAGAAUAGGUUGAUAGAUGUGUACGGAAAGUGUGGCUGUUUGGACGAUGCACGCAAGGUGUUUGAUCGGAUGCCCCAAAAGAAUGCUUUCACUUGGAACUCGGUUUUAAGUGCAUUAACAAAAUCGGGUUCUCUUGACGAAGCGGUGCGGCUUUUUCGGUUGAUGCCUGAGCCCGAUCAGUGCUCUCGGAAUUUAAUGAUCUCAGGGUUGGCUCAGAAUGAUCACUUUAAGGAAUCCCUUGAUUUUUUUGUUGAGAUGCAUAGGGAGGAUUUUGUACUGAAUGAAUACACUUUUGGUAGUGCUCUUAGUGCUUGUUCGGGUUUAGCGGAUAUAAAAAUGGGUACCCAGAUCCACGCUUCAAUAUCAAAAUCUCCGUACUUAUUGGAUGUUUAUAUGGGGUCUGCACUUGUUGAUAUGUAUUCUAAAUGUGGGAGUGUGGCUUGUGCUCAAGAAGUUUUCGAUGGGAUGAACGAACGGAAUAUAGUGACAUGGAAUAGCUUGAUAACAUGUUAUGAGCAAAAUGGUCCAGCAGAUGAAGCUAUAAAGAUCUUUGUGAGGAUGAUGGAAUGUGGGCUUGAACCCGAUGAGCUCACGCUUGCCAGUAUGGUCAGCGCCUGUGCAAGCUUGUCAUCAAUCAAAGAAGGUCAGCAGAUUCAUGCCCGGAUUGUGAAAGUUGAAAAAUUUAGGGAUGAUGUUGUUAUAUGUAAUGCAUUGGUUGACAUGUAUGCAAAAUGCAGUAAAAUUAAUGAAGCUAGAUGGGUUUUUGAUAGGAUGCCAACUAGGAAUGUGGUGUCCGAAACCUCCAUGGUGAGUGGUUAUGCAAAAGUGGCAAGUGUGAAAGCUGCAAGAUUAAUGUUUACAAAGAUGAUAGAAAAGAAUGUCAUAUCUUGGAAUGCACUAAUUGCAGGCUAUACACAGAAUGGGGAGAAUGAAGAGGCAUUAGGACUCUUCCGCCUCCUAAAGAGGGAAUCUGUUUGGCCUACACACUACACCUUUGGUAAUCUCCUCAAUGCAUGUUCAAAUUUAGCUGAUCUGAAGCUUGGUAGGCAGGCUCACACUCAUGUCUUGAAGCAUGGAUUUCGGUUUCAGUCUGGACCAGAGUCUGAUAUUUUUGUGGGGAACUCUCUAAUAGAUAUGUACAUGAAAUGCGGAUCGGUUGAAGAUGGGAACCGGGUAUUUGAGAAAAUGGUUGAAAGAGAUUGGGUUUCAUGGAAUGCCAUGAUAGUAGGGUAUGCACAAAAUGGACAUGGGACUGAAGCUCUUGGAAUGUUCAGGGAAAUGUUGAUAUCUGGAGAGAAACCAGACCAUGUCACUAUGAUUGGGGUUCUAUGUGCUUGUAGCCACACGGGGCUGGUUGAAGAGGGGCGCCAAUAUUUCUUCUCAAUGAGCAAGAAGCAUGGUAUAGAACCCAUGAAGGAUCAUUAUACAUGUAUGGUUGAUUUGUUUGGUCGAGCCGGUUGCCUCAAUGAAGCGAAGAAGUUGAUAGAAUCCAUGCCAAUGCAGCCGGAUGGUGUUGUCUGGGGAUCUUUGCUUGCUGCUUGUAAAAUUCAUGGUAACCUUGAAUUAGGUAAGUUUGUAGCCGAGAAGCUCCUAGAGAUUGAUCCUGAAAACUCUGGUCCCUAUGUUCUCCUCUCAAACAUGUAUGCUGAGCUUGGAAGAUGGAGGGAUGUUACAAGAGUUAGGAAGCUUAUGAGGCAGCGGGGUAUUAUUAAGCAACCAGGAUGCAGUUGGAUUGAAAUUCAGGGUCAGGUGCAUAAUUUCAUGGUGAAAGACAGAAGACAUCCUCAAAAGAAGGAAAUUUAUCUACUUCUGAAAAUUCUUGCUCAACAGAUGAAGCUAGCUGGUUAUAUUCCUGAUACUGGUGAUGCACAGGCUGAUGAAGAGCAGAACAAGUCAGAUUUACCUCAUGUGACCAAUUGGAAGUACCAGCAGUUGCUGCCGUUGCAUAAUUCUCACAUAAUUCAUUAAAUGCUUUGUUCGUGGCAUGUUAGCAUUAUAUUUAUUCUUCCGCUGAGAUAAAUCAAGAAAAUGGGCUUGAUUUUUGGAAUUCUCAUAUGGACGAUCGUCGGGAUCGUGUUGAUGGCUGGUUGGCGUCAUAUGAUGAGUUAUCGAAGCAACAAACGAAUCGCAAAGAUAUAAUUAUCAACAGCUGAUAUAAAACACCUUGGGUCCCUCAACAGAGAUGACCUGAAGAAAAUUUGUGGUGAUAAUUUUCCUGAAUGGAUAUUUUCCCUGUUUAUGAACAGGUGAAAUGGUUGAAUAAGUAGUUGAGCAAACUGUGGCCAUAUGUUUCUGAUGCCGCCACGGCGAUAAUAAAAGAAUCUGUUGAACCUCUGUUGGAAGAGUAUCGACCUCCAGGGAUUACUUCCUUGAAGUUCAGCAAACUGACUCUUGGAACUGUGGCACCCAAAAUUGAAGAGAUUGCAAGGAUUCCAAGAAUUUCAACAAUUGGAAAUGUGAGGUCGGCAGUUCCACAUCGAGGACCGUCUUUGUACAUCGACGGGAAGUCCGUUGCAGGGAGGAAAUCCGUUCUCUCAUCUUGCUUGGUCGGGUGUUUUGACAAGGAAGUUGGGGGUUGUGAUCGUGUGGAGGAAUGGGCUGCGAGAGCAUGGAAUACGUCCUGUGGAGUGGGGGUUACUCCAUUAUCUGAUUUGCUGCUCCUUUUUAGGUUUCCUUCUCAGGUCGAAGCCCAACGUGUGUUGAAGGAAGGCCGGCGUCAAUGGGGAUCUGCAACCCUGCGGAUCGAUGUAUGGUCUUUUAGGGUUGGUUGUUGCGGCGUCCUUAGAGAAAAAGGUCUCAAACAGAUCCGGCUGUUUGGACUUCCCCUUCACCUAUUUGUUGAAGUAGGGGAGUUGUGUGGCGGACUUGUGGGAGCUGUUGCUGAUGAAACAAGGGAUGCCGAAAGUGUUAUAUUUUAAUAUAUACAAAAAUUAAAUUUUGGUCUUUUUGUUUUAUUUUUUAAUAUUAUGAAACUAAAUGCAAUCAUUAAUAGGGCUCUCAAGUGAAUCUGUGCAUUUUGUUAAAAAUUAAAAAAUUUUAAAUCCAAGGCAUACUCUUUAA